Long non-coding RNA from Herpailurus yagouaroundi (jaguarundi), 522 nucleotides. RefSeq lists it as uncharacterized. The transcript has 3 exons. The record is from RefSeq and is a predicted model, not a curated record. NCBI's taxonomy places the organism in Eukaryota, Metazoa, Chordata, Mammalia, Carnivora, Felidae.
GACAAAGGGAAAGGAUUAAAGGAGGUUGGAAGACAGCUCUAAUUGUAUCUUAUUCAUGUGGUUGAUGAACUUAACACACAUCUCAAUUCCGACAUCAAAGAGGCCUGAGUCUUCUCCAUCAAAGUGACAGUUCAGUUGGGAAAGCCAUUAUAUCAUACUCAGCUCCCUGAGGACCCAGGGCACAUGGUUUAUGAUCAGUCAUCGUUGCUGAAUGAAUGGAAGAAUGGAUGAAGUCAGGGAAUUGCAAGAGAAGAGGCCAGAAUAUUGUUCUAGAGGAUCCUGAUCACAGGGACACUGUGAAGUCUUGAUCCAAGUUAAAGAAUACCCACCUUUUGACAUUGUUAUCAAUAGAUACCUGGAUGAGAAGAAUUCAACAAACAACUUUGGCCAAGAUUCUGGUGCUUGGGGUGCACAGGUAAGAUAAACAACAAUCUGUUUUUCUUCUUCAGGGUGUUACAUACCAUGUCAGAACUUGAGAAAAUAGAUUUUAAUUAGUUAAACAGCAGAAUUAGGUUAAGGAUC